This is a long non-coding RNA of Aquila chrysaetos chrysaetos, 2001 nucleotides long. RefSeq lists it as uncharacterized. The record is from RefSeq and is a predicted model, not a curated record. Lineage: Eukaryota; Metazoa; Chordata; Aves; Accipitriformes; Accipitridae. The transcript has 4 exons.
GGUUCUGGCACGGCGUCCCUGCGCCGACCCCGGGCGCGCCGGCGGGGGGAGGGCCUGCCUUGCGGAGGCUGCGGGGCAGUGCGGCGGGGCUGGCGAGCGGCGAGCGCGGGUCUGGGCUGCGGGGCACGGGCCCGCCGCGGAGGGGAACGGCGCUCUGCCGAGGCGCAGCUUUUCCCGAGGGGAAGGAAGGGCAGGCACUGGCUGUGAGGGAUGCAUCGUCCGGUGAUCUGCUAGAGCGUCACCAGUUAACGCGCUGCCUGCCGUAGUCUGUUUUUACUGAAGGAGGGUGCGCGUGGAGGCAGAGCUCCGGACUGCCGUGAGGUGCUUCGUGCCGUCUCCUGUUCUCUAGUGAGCCGAAGUCUGUAAGCAAACUAAUAAAACCAAGCUCCCGUCUCUUGCAUCGGAGAGGCUGGAGACCUUGGGGUGAGUAGGUAUGGACUCAGUUGUGGAUUGGCCAAGGAGGUGGACAGUUCCUGCAACAUCAGUUUGAGAAGGUGGCUAUUUACCCUGACUUCCCAUCCAGCUCACAGCAAGCCUAAAAGAAAGCCCAUCUCUGAAAAUCAAAGGAGGGAGCUAUGGCUUCACCUGGUCACUUGCCUUGGCCCUAACAUCAGGUGUCACAAACAGGACCCAGCAGGGCUUGUCUGUCAGCUGCCAAAUAAAAAAGAUGGAGCAGCCUGUCCACACAAAGUAAUUGUUAGCCAGUAAAGCUAAGACUGCAUUAGAUUUCUGGUACAUCAUGGGUAUUUGUUUGAAGUUCUACAUUCAAAUCUCUAUUUCCACAUUCUGAACCUGGCAUUUACUAGGGAUGCUGCCUGGAUGUGUAGAGAUGAGAUCAGGAAAGCCAAGGCACAGCUGGAGUUGAAUUUGGGAAAGGUUUCGAAGAAUAGUAAGAAGGGCUUCUACAGGUGUGUUGGGCAAAAAAGGAAGAUGAAAGAAAAUGCACACACUGCACCUCCCCCCACCACACCUCCCCCCUGAUAAAUAAGACAGGAGAACUAGUGGCAACCAUCAUGGAGAAAGCUGAGGUACUCAGCAAUUUUUUUACCUCAGUUUUCAAUAGUAAUCUCUCUUCCCACAUCUCUCAAGCCCCUGAACCUCAAGACAGGGACCAGGUACUGGGGGAAUGAAGUCCCUCCUAUUGUAAGUGAAGAUCAGGUUCGGGACGACCUGAGGAACAUGGACAUACACAAGUCCAUGGGACCCAAUGAGAUAUGCAUGCCAGGGUCCCGAGGGAAUCAGCUGAUGUAGUUGCCAGGCCACUCUCAAUCAUAUUUGAAAUGUCAGGCAAAGUCCCCAGUGACUGGAAAAAGGGAAACAUCACACCCAUUUUUAAAAAGGAGAACCCUGGGAACUACUGACCAGUCAGCCUCACCUUUGUGCCUGAUAAGAUCAUGGAACAGAUUCUCCUGGAAGAUGCAUCGAAACAGGGAGGUCAUUAAAGACAGCCAAUGUGGCUUCACCAAGGGCAAAUUGUGCCUGACUAGUCUAGUGGCCUUCUGCAAUGGGGUGACUGCAUCAGUGAAGAAGGGAUGAGCUAUGGAUGUCAUCUACCUGGACUUCUGUAAGGUCUUUGAUAUGGUCCCCCACAACAUUCUUGCUGUUAAAUUGGAGAGAUAAGGGUUUGAUGGAUGGAAUGUUAAGAUGGAUAAAGAAUUGGCUGGAUGGCCACAUCCAAAGGCUUACAGUCAACGGCUUGAGUCCAAGAGGAAACUAGUAACAAGUGGUGUUCCUCGGGGGUCCAUACUGGGAGCAGUACUAUUUAAUAUCUUCAUCAGUGACACAGGUAGUGGGAUUGAGUGCACCCUCAGCAUGUUUGUGGAUGACACCAAGCUGAGCGGUGCAAUUGAUCUCUAGAGGAAAGGGAUGCCACCCAGCAGGACCUUGACAGGCUUGUGCAGUGGGCCAGUGUGAACCUCAUGAGGUUCAACAAGGCCAAGCGCAAGGUCCUGCACCUGGGUCGGGGCAACCCCCAGUGUCAAUACAGACUGGAGGAUGAAU